Long non-coding RNA from Coffea arabica (coffee), 1996 nucleotides. RefSeq lists it as uncharacterized. The record is from RefSeq and is a predicted model, not a curated record. NCBI's taxonomy places the organism in Eukaryota, Viridiplantae, Streptophyta, Magnoliopsida, Gentianales, Rubiaceae.
GAUGGAUGAUAGGGCGCCAGAGAUUCUUCAGUAUAGGCCCCUUGAAUAAAGUCAUGGUCAUGACACCAGCCAAGGAAACCAAAGUUCCGAGUACCUUGGCUAUACCACGAGGGUUUCGAAGUUCGAUGACCUCCAGCCUGCAAGAUCAGAGGAGGUGUAUUUGCGACACUACAACCCAGGCAAUUCCAUGAUUACUUGGCUAAACUCGAUUUAUUAUCAAUGGGACUUGAAUCUAUUACAAAUACCAUGCAGAACUCACCACGAGCCGCAAAGAGGAGUUCAUGAUCACGCCAAACUUUUAUCUCCCCUCAGCUGUUUUGGCCCAAAACAUGAAAGAAAUUAGCUUUACUGAUGCGUCUUCCAUUACUUGUUACCAUUUCGUACAAAAAGAAAAAGAAAGGUCUAAAGUUAGAGUAAUGGUGAAGGAUUUAAUAUUAAGGAAAAAGUUAGUGGAGGAGGAUGGACUCGUUUGGAAUAGAGCAUAUUAUAACAGACGGUAUGUAUAGAGUACGUACUAAAUUAUGGCAUCUUGGAAUAUUGUUUAUCACUACAAGUUGACAGAGAAUAACAAGCACAUUCUUUUCUGGAUAUGGAAGCAUUCAUCUGGUGUCCAAUGGUAAUAAUAGUUUUCUCAUCUAAUGAUCCGGGCUGGGCAGUCCUGAUGCAGUUAUUCGCUAAGAAGAAUUUCCCAAACCGGAAGAUACAUAUUCUUGGUAAUGCUGGUGUAGUUACAGACUGUGAGGCAUCUUUUCGUCCAAUCAGAAUGUUUGUUAGAUUUGCCAGAUUCUACUGGGAAUUCUGGGCAGGAUUUGAUGAUUCCUUCUGCAGACAGCCAUAGGAAGAAAACUGAAAUUUUAACCUUAGCCAACCAUUCAUUUUCAUUUUCAAGAUGGUAUCUCAUGGUUUUGGUCAGUUGUCCUAGCUCUACUAUACCCUUAAAUGAUACUUAUCAGUAAGGUUUCGGUCCAUUAUCCCUUGAAAACCAAUUGAGGACCAUUGAUCUGUGAUGGCCCUGCUUUUUGUCAUCAACUUCUUCAUCUUGGCAGUUGACAGGGGCAUGAGAUCAGGAAUCUUAUUUCCUCCGAGUCUCAUUGCAGCAGAAGGAAUCCAGCAAAUCUAUUCUCUCAUGUAAAUGGCUAAAAAGCAUUUCCAACCAAGAUUCUUGUUCUUUUUUUUUUUUUUUUUAACUUUUCAAAAGAAAUGAUCCACCUCACCAAUUUACUCCCACUUCAUAGAAUAUAAAUAGGAGACAAGAUCAGACAUCAAACUGUUGACAUUGACAAGCAAUAAUUUUCAUUCAUACAUCAGCAAGAAACAGCUUUUUCAUUCAUAGAACCUGUGAUCAUCGUAAACAUGCUAACAAGGGACAAGACAGCUAAUUAACUCAGCAUGUUCUAGCAACAUGGGUUAUUUACUCAAAAUUUGGGGUUUUUUACAAGAAAAUUAAACUAAUAUUGAUGGAUUUAUUAGCUUUACAAAACCAGAAAACUCGAUCUUUAGACUUUAAGUCAGAACAAUCUUAAUCAGAACUACAGAGUUCAAUUGCAGAAACAUUCAAAGCAAUCAAAAAGAAUUAUCCUGAUAAUCACCAGGGACCAAUGUUAAACAUAAAUCAUGAUUAAGAGUACCCAAAUAGUUUUUGGAACUUCCAACAUGAUUCCAAAUGUGGAAACUCGUGAAGCAUCAUACCGCCUUCUUCUUAGAUGUGCUGUAGAGACAACUUUGACUACAUCUCAAAGCCCUAUCAAUCAGCAUAUAAAAAUGUGUACAGAAACUCCCUGCCAAAAACUAUAAGAAAAGGCCAUGGGUUGCAAUUCGAUUCCUGCACUCAUUCAUGGUGGGGCUGGUUCUAUUUGUGGAGUCACCAUGAGAUAGGGGAAGAGACUGAAUUUUUUUUUUUUUAAGUCCAUCUUUAGAAGAUGGACUUGUCAUCUACACUUGUUUCGGAAAACUAUUAAAUCCAUCAUUAUAUAUUUAACUGUAACGGAAAGCAUAA